RNAcentral lists this ribosomal RNA (456 nucleotides) under uncultured bacterium. Its description in RNAcentral is "bacterial SSU rRNA". It matches the Rfam family "Bacterial small subunit ribosomal RNA", at positions 340 to 786 of the family's 1533-position model. The record is from RNAcentral.
UACGGAAGGCAGCAGUGGGGAAUAUUGCACAAUGGGCGCAAGCCUGAUGCAGCCAUGCCGCGUGUAUGAAAAAGGCCUUCGGGUUGUAAAGUACUUUCAGUCGUGAGGAAGGUGUUAAGGUUAAUAACCUUAGCAAUUGACGUUAGCGACAGAAGAAGCACCGGCUAACUCCGUGCCAGCAGCCGCGGUAAUACGGAGGGUGCGAGCGUUAAUCGGAAUUACUGGGCGUAAAGGGCACGCAGGCGGUUAAUUAAGUUGGAUGUGAAAUCCCCGGGCUUAACCUGGGAAUGGCAUUCAAGACUGGUUAGCUAGAGUCUUGUAGAGGGGGUAGAAUUCCAUGUGUAGCGGUGAAAUGCGUAGAGAUGUGGAGGAAUACCGGUGGCGAAGGCGGCCCCUGGGACAAAGGACUGACGCUCAUGUGCGAAAGCGUGGGGAGCAAACGAGGGAUUAGAUACC